CAAAUAUAGUCAUGUUGGGUGUUAGGGCUUCAGUAUCUGAAUUUGGGGAGAACAUAAGUCCAUGACACAUGUGUACAAAACUUUCACUGUGAUAUUAAUGUCAUAAUAAUAAUAUAUAACAACAAACAACAGAGUAACCAACAAGCUUAACACCUGAGAAAAGAUAGGUGCCUCCAAUAAGAAACAAAUAUGAGCACUUGAUUACCUAGGGCAUACAUAGCACAGACCAACAUAUAAUCACCUUGAAAGUGGAUGAAAAGAAUGCAGCUGAGACAUUUAUCAAAUUACUGAAGACCAAGUGUGAACACUAGUGAAGAUCAAUUGUGGUUGGAGAGAUGAAGAACAAUAAAACUCUAACCCCAGGACAGGUACAAGAUUACUGAGAAAGCUUCACCCCACAAACUCAGGGGUGAGCCAUAACGACAGAAUUUUCCCGCUGUUAAAGCAAACUGAAUAUGACCUGAGAAGGACUUCUAUAUUUGAGUCCUUGUGGACUAACUGCAACCUAGCUUAACAGGAUAAGACCAUUUAAAGGGACCAAAAAUGGAUGAACAUACUGGGCACUAUGAACUAAAAGAUCUUUGGCUAAAGAAGAGAUGAAGACUCAUUCAACUCCUACAA
Molecule: long non-coding RNA, 621 nt
Organism: Symphalangus syndactylus (siamang)
Lineage: Eukaryota; Metazoa; Chordata; Mammalia; Primates; Hylobatidae
Source: RefSeq, a predicted model, not a curated record